GACGAACGCUGGCGGCGUGCUUAACACAUGCAAGUCGUACGGUAAGGCCCUUUCGGGGGUACACGAGUGGCGAACGGGUGAGUAACACGUGAGUAACCUGCCCACAACUUUGGGAUAACGCUAGGAAACUGGUGCUAAUACUGGAUAUGUGCUCCUGCUGCAUGGUGGGGGUUGGAAAGCUCCGGCGGUUGUGGAUGGACUCGCGGCCUAUCAGCUUGUUGGUGGGGUAGUGGCCUACCAAGGCGGCGACGGGUAGCCGGCCUGAGAGGGUGACCGGCCACAUUGGGACUGAGAUACGGCCCAGACUCCUACGGGAGGCAGCAGUGGGGAAUAUUGCACAAUGGGCGCAAGCCUGAUGCAGCAACGCCGCGUGCGGGAUGAUGGCCUUCGGGUUGUAAACCGCUUUCAGCAGGGACGAAGCUUUUUGUGACGGUACCUGCAGAAGAAGCACCGGCUAACUACGUG
Molecule: ribosomal RNA, 465 nt
Filed under: uncultured bacterium
Lineage: Bacteria
Description: partial 16S ribosomal RNA
Rfam family: Bacterial small subunit ribosomal RNA
Source: RNAcentral